UACGUAGGGUGCAAGCGUUGUCCGGAAUUAUUGGGCGUAAAGAGCUCGUAGGCGGUUUGUCGCGUCUGCUGUGAAAACGCGAGGCUCAACCUCGCGCCUGCAGUGGGUACGGGCAGACUAGAGUGCGGUAGGGGAGAUUGGAAUUCCUGGUGUAGCGGUGGAAUGCGCAGAUAUCAGGAAGAACACCCGUGGCGAAGGCGGCUCUCUGGAACGCAACUGACGCUGAGACGCGAAAGCGUGGGGAGCAAACAGG
Molecule: ribosomal RNA, 253 nt
Filed under: uncultured bacterium
Lineage: Bacteria
Description: partial 16S ribosomal RNA
Rfam family: Bacterial small subunit ribosomal RNA
Source: RNAcentral